This 253-nucleotide ribosomal RNA is filed under the name uncultured bacterium. RNAcentral's name for it is "partial 16S ribosomal RNA". It matches the Rfam family "Bacterial small subunit ribosomal RNA", at positions 524 to 776 of the family's 1533-position model. The record is from RNAcentral.
UACGGAGGGUGCAAGCGUUAUCCGGAUUUACUGGGUUUAAAGGGUGCGUAGGUGGGUCUGUAAGUCAGUUGUGAAAUCUCCGAGCUUAACUCGAAAACUGCCAUUGAUACUAUAGAUCUUGAAUUAUCUGGAGGUAAGCGGAAUAUGUCAUGUAGCGGUGAAAUGCUUAGAUAUGACAUAGAACACCAAUUGCGAAGGCAGCUUACUACGGAUCGAUUGACACUGAGGCACGAAAGCGUGGGGAUCAAACAGG